GUACAUCAUAAACAUCUGAUGACUGAAUGGAUGACAGACACUGCUUCAGUAUGGGUGUCCCUCUAACAUCCUCAGUUGGGAUCACAGGCAUCUGCUUUCUAGAGUCCAGGCAGAGGAUGUGCCCCAGGAAAGUCCUGGGAUCAGCCACAUGGACUCCCUGUUCCUGUUCCCUAUCUAUGCGCCCCACCCCCGCCUUGGGAAACAGGUGUGUCUGAACUGGAGCUGGAAGCAGAGCCCGGGAGCUGGACAACUGGCCUUGGAGUGAGACAAGCUCAGAGUAUAUGACAUCAUGGCCUCAAAUCACAAGCCAGUAUGUGACAGAUAUAAAACUAGAGCUGACACCAGGGGUCCCAUGGACAGAGUUGGCUUCUUUUGGGUAAGCUGAUCACCUAGUGCCUUCUUUGGGGAAGAGGCAGGAGUGGCUGGGGCUGCCACCUAGUCACCAUGCCUCAUAGCUGGUCUUCUUGAUGGAAACAAGGCUGGAAAGGUGGGC
Molecule: long non-coding RNA, 493 nt
Filed under: Callithrix jacchus (white-tufted-ear marmoset)
Lineage: Eukaryota; Metazoa; Chordata; Mammalia; Primates; Cebidae
Description: lncRNA (ENSCJAG00000074369.1)
Source: RNAcentral